RNAcentral lists this ribosomal RNA (466 nucleotides) under uncultured bacterium. RNAcentral describes it as "partial 16S ribosomal RNA". It matches the Rfam family "Bacterial small subunit ribosomal RNA", at positions 28 to 507 of the family's 1533-position model. The record is from RNAcentral.
GACGAACGCUGGCGGCGUGCUUAACACAUGCAAGUCGAACGGAAAGGCCCUGCUUGCCGGGUACUCGAGUGGCGAACGGGUGAGUAACACGUGGGUGAUCUGCCCUGCACUUCGGGAUAAGCUUGGGAAACUGGGUCUAAUACCGGAUAGGAACCAUCUUUAGUGUGGUGGUUGGAAAGUUUUUUCGGUGUAGGAUGAGCUCGCGGCCUAUCAGCUUGUUGGUGGGGUAAUGGCCUACCAAGGCGGCGACGGGUAGCCGGCCUGAGAGGGUGUACGGCCACAUUGGGACUGAGAUACGGCCCAGACUCCUACGGGAGGCAGCAGUGGGGAAUAUUGCACAAUGGGCGCAAGCCUGAUGCAGCGACGCCGCGUGGGGGAUGAAGGCCUUCGGGUUGUAAACUCCUGUCGCUAGGGACGAAGCUUUGUUGUGACGGUACCUAGAUAAGAAGCACCGGCUAACUACGUG